Molecule: long non-coding RNA, 17601 nt
Filed under: Homo sapiens (human)
Lineage: Eukaryota; Metazoa; Chordata; Mammalia; Primates; Hominidae
Source: RNAcentral
CUUCCCUUCCGCUUCCUUUCCUUUCUUCCCCUUUCCCCUUUCCCCUUUCCUUUCUUUUCUUUUCUUGAGGAGACUCCGGGAAAGCGAAAGACAGAAUUGUGGCAACUUUCUGGAGCAGAAAGUUCUGAGGCAAGGAAAAGCCCUUAUGUGCGAUGCGAGGGAGGCUGCACAGACCUGGGUGGCUGCCCACAGCUUCUGGAGCCUGGCCGCAGCGCCUCUGAAGGCAAUGUCACAUAGGGAACGAGUCACGAGGAAGCCAGACAGGCACAAGCACAUGGACGCUUUCCACCUUGAAGAUCCAGGGCCACCUUCCUGCCCCCUGGGGGCACAGCGGUCUCCAGUCCCUGGAGAAGCUCCAGCUGGGGAUACUGUCAACCCGGUAACCAGCACGGCGCUCCUGGGCAGCCCGGGACCAGCUGUAAAGUGGUGAUGGCAGGAGAAACCCUACAGGGACUGGCUCACACACACACAGGGACUGGCUCACACACACACACACACACACACACACACAGGGACUGGCUCACACACACACACACACACACACACACACAGGGACUGGCUCACACACACACACACACACACACAGGGACUGGCUCACAGGUUUUAAGUGAAAGGAAGAAAUCAGGAGUUCUUUCCUUUUUUAGCAAUUUGAAACUCUAAGAAAAAGGCUACAGUGUUGUAUUAAUGUCUCACCACUCCCACCCCCUUUUCAAGUGAAAUAAAGAAUACAAGGGAAGCCAGAAAAAUGCUGAAGAUUUUGGCAAUGAAGGGUCUGACCACAAAGAAAGCCAAUGUGCCACUUGUGUGGAUUUUUGCAGAAAGAGUAAACAGCCUUCCUGCAAGACACAGGCUGCAGAGGGUUCCGUUUUCAUGGCUGGCUGCCACAGAAUUGGCUUAGGCUGGAUGGACUGAGCAGAGCAUGGGGUCUGAGCCGAGUGGCGUGAGCCAGGGGUCCAGAGCAGACACGGGGGGCGUGCACGCCAUCUCCAGAGUCGCACAGGGCUGUGCGUAGGCGGCCACUAGGGUAGGUCACGCAUAAAAGUUGCUUUGUAUCUGCAGCACGAACAAGACUUAAAGAAAGAUCUGUUUUAUAAAGACGAAGCAGUGCUCAGUAUGUCAUUUAGGAUGAAGAAGAAGGCAGGGAAAGCGUUCAUUUUAGAAGUGCUGUGAGGAUGGUGCAGGACGCAGUGGGGCGGGGGGAGGGUGCAUUCCGCCCGGAUCUUCCCUCCCCUCACUUCUGUGCUGCCCUGCCUGCAUGCCCUCACGCCCAGGCUAGUUUCCACUCUGCCACAGGCAGUGAAGAUUGGAUCCGCUGAUGGCAGCAUCUUGGAAACAGGAAACUGACAGGCCUCUGAAUAUGCCAUCCUAAAAUAUGACUGUCUGAGACCAGACUAUACCACCCCAAAAUAUGACUGUCUGAGACCACACUAUACCACCCCAAAAUACGACUCAGAGAUCAGACUAUAUCACCCCAAAAUGCGACUGUCAGAGACCAGAUUAUACCACCCCAAAAUAUGACUGUCAGAGACCAGACUAUACUACCCCAAAAUACGACUCAGAGACCAGACUAUAUCACCCCAAAAUAUGACUGUCAGAGACUAGACUAUAACACCCCAAAAUAUGACUCAGAGACCAGACUAUAUCACCCCAAAAUAUGACUGUCAGAGACCAGAUUAUACCACCCCAAAAUAUGACUGUCAGAGACCAGACUAUAACACCCCAAAAUACGACUCAGAGACCAGACUAUAUCACCCCAAAAUACGACUGUCAGAGACCAGAUUAUACCACCCCAAAAUAUGACUGCCAGAGACCAGACUAUAUCACCCCAAAAUAUGACUGUCAGAGACCAGACUAUACCACCCCAAAAUACGACUGUCAGAGACCAGACUAUACCACCCCAAAAUAUGACUCAGAGACCAGACUAUAUCACCCCAAAAUAUGACUGUCAGAGACUAACCAGACCAUGCCUCCCACACAUGCCUCUUUGUCUUAAGGAUCAUUUGGAGCUGGUUAUUUUGAGAAACUGCAGAUGCAGGAGAACCUUUAAAAACAGAAACUUACCAUUUUGUAAAGGAAAUGUCCGUCAAUAAAGGAACUGUCCAUUUGUAAGGGUGCCUUCCUCUCUGCACCAGAGAGAGAAGAACGACUAGAUCUCUAGACUCCUGAACCAUGGAGAAGGUUUCUAAGCCUGAAGUUUAAACUACCUGUUUGAGAUCAACUCCAGAGACAUACUCAGUUCUCUGGGUGCCUCCCAAGUGCACACGAGCUACACAUACUAAUAAACUUCUGUUUGUUUUUCUCUUCUUACUCGGUCUUUGUUACAGGGAGUCUCAGCUAAGAAGGUUGGAGGGCAGAGAGAAAACUCGUGUUCUGCCCCUACCGGAGCAAGUGUGUGUUCCUCUGCACUGAUGAAUGUGCCUGUCUCCAGAAAGGGCAGCCCGUAGGUACUGAGAGCAGAGGUGGAGCUUCUAAGAGAGCAGUGACAGCCUCACUCCUCCUCCCUGGCCCACCCUCACCCCGUCCCCUGCACCUGGAGCCACUGGAAGACGGAGGAGCCAUCCUUUAAGAAUCUCCUGGAGGACUCAUCGACCCCACGGGGACAUGGUACAAGGCUGGAGAGCAGCUCUGUGUUGAAGGGGAGGAGAGAAGAUAAUCUCAUUUCCUCCCAGUCUAAAGAAUGAGCAUUCCCAGUGGAAGGAGAAAGCAGAUCCUUGGCCACACACAAUCCUCGGAGAAGAGUCAACAGGAUUGUGACUAGAAGUGGCUUCUACAUCAGCCCAAAGUUGACUUUCAGCAAAAGAGCCAAUGUCGUGCCAUGUUGCCCAGGCUGGUUUCAAACUCCUGGGAUCAGGUGAUCCCCCUACCUCAGCCUCCCAAAGUGCUGGGAUUACAGGUAUGAACCACCACGCCUGGCCCCCUAGUGAAAUCUAAAAUUGCAACGCUCUUUUUUCUCACAGUUUUCUCAUGUCAUUAAUUCUCUCUUCUACUUCUCUAAAAACUUUAAUCUACUCCACUGUCCCUGACAUUUUAGUUUUUGUCUGACUACACUGUCUUGCCUACCCCAUAUUUGAACCACUUUUUCACUACUGCCCCCAGCCCCUAUUGCCCUAACAGGCCUCCCAGGCUUCUCAGACCCGCGCAAUGGAGAUGAAGCCUGGAGUUACUGACUGUGCUGCGCAAAGCAGGCCAGGAGCCCACAGCUGUCCUGAAAGCCCUUCUGUUUGUGGUGUUCACCUUGGACAGGCCUUCGCCCCCGACUUCGUUCAUCUGUUCUUGCUCAGCUUAUAUCUUCUCUUAACCCACCGCAACAUUCAUGGCUGAGACCCCCUAACAAAAGACUGAUUAGCAAAAGAAAAUCAUGCAAAUUUAUCUAACGAAAGUUUUACAUGACCCAGGAGCCUUCAGACAUGAAGGCCCAAAGAAACAGGGAACACUGUAUUUUUAUGCUUAGGAUGGAUAAAGAGUGGACAGUCCUGUAGGAUGGUUGGACAAAGGGAAGAUGAGCUAAUGAGAAUAACCUGGGGAGAACUUAGCAAGGCCAAUUUGUUCAGAUUCCGCUUGGCAUCGCUGGGUCUUCAUUCCUCUUCUCUAGGUACAGGGAGGAGGAACCUCUGGAAUGAGCGUCUAAUGACCUACUUUAGAGGGAGGCCAAAUAAUUAUUUUAGGACCUGCUUUGGAGGAGAACACUGGGAGAAGGUCAGAGAGAUCUUCCCGCUGCUGCCCUGCGUUCUCCUUCCCCUCCUUUGUCUCCACGGUCCCCGCCCUUGUUUACCCUCCCGUGCUCUUACCACCCUCCAGGAUCAUACUCAAUGCAUUAACCCUUUCCCUCGUCUCUUCUGGCUUGUUCGCCCCAGGCCUCCCCAUAAACCUUUCUUAAUAAAUCCUUCUUUCUCCAUCCUGUGUCUACGUCUACUUCCAACCAUUUUUUCUCCUUAAAUAUUUAAUUCACCAUCUUUACCUACAUGCUUAUUUUAUGCAUUAUCACAAAAUUAUAUUUUCAGCCCCCAUAUUUUCCUGAAGCUCUUUUGCAACUGUUGUAAAUAAUCUUCUGGCAGCCAAACCCCUUUUUCGUUCCCUCAUUAAGGAGGGUUUAUACUUAGGAAGCAGCCACCACUUCCACCACUGAGCUGGCAUUGGCGAUACGACAAUGAACAAGAUACAAAUGGCCUUUACCCUUAUGGAGCACGCAGUCCGUGGUAAAGAAAGCAAGAAGAUAAUCAAUUACAGACCAACCUGGAUAACACAGGGAGAUCUCAUCGCUGCAAAAUAAAAAAAAUUAGCCAGGCGUGGUGGCGCAUGCCUGUGGUCCAGCUAUUUGGGAGGCUUAAACAGGAGGAUCAUUUGAGCUGGGGAGUUUGAGGUUGCAGUGAGCCAUGAUCACGCUACUGCACUCCAGCCUGGGCGACAGAGUGAGACCUGCAGUGAGCCAUGAUCACGCUACUGCACUCCAGCCUGGGCGACAGAGUGAGACCUUGUCUAUAAAAUGAUAAUAAUAAGAAUAACCAAUUGAAUUACAGCAUAACAAAUGCCAGGAUGGAGAAAUAAUGGGAAACUGGGUGCAGAGGAGGGAGGUCUUUAAGGCAGAUCAACUCUCCUUGGCAUUUAGUUCUAAAUACUGUCCUCCCAUGUGGCUUGUAGGACCCACACUCCCCUGAGACUCCUCCUGCCACUCCUACUUGGUUUUAUUCUUUGUCACUCCUCCAUUUCCCCAACUAUCUUUGAAAUAUUCGUGUUCCACAGGACUUUGUCAUUUACACACUCUUCCCUUCUCUUUCUAGAGGCUUCCUUGAGCAUGCUCACUGCUUGAAAACCUGAUGAAACUGACAUCCGUCUCUAGCCUGGAGACGUUCUCUUGCACACUCAGCUCUAUGACGGGCUCCUCAAACUCAAAAGGCUCGGGAACUGAGCUCAUUAUGUUUCCUCCCAGUCCUUCUCCUAUUAUCUGUCCUACUCUAGUUAAUGAAAUUUUCACCUCCCUAUUUGGAGCAAGUCCAAAAACUGAGAGUCAACCUAUAUUUCUCCAUUUUACUUAUUCUCUGCCUUCACUGGAGGCUGUACCACUUACAAGCACAUACUCUAAAGCCAGAUGGUGUGGACUGAAUCACAAUUCUACUAUUUGCUAGAAGAGUGCCUUAGGUAAAUUACUGCAUAGCUCUGUGACUCCAUUUCCUCAUCUGGGAAGUGUAUUAUUAAGAAUGUGGCUGGCCUUUGUCCCCAGGUUUUGGGAAGUAACCUCUAAACCCCUGCCAUUUCCCGUGCUCUAGGGGUAUCUUUGUUAUUCACAGGGGGCUCCUUGGACCACACUUGGUAGUCUAUGUGAACAUAUGACUUGGAAUGGAGGCUGGUCAAGACGGAAAGACCCACCAUGUGAUUAGGGAGUCGAGGGCUUUGAACCAUAUUUUAGUGGCCUGACUCUGAGGAGGAGAGGGGCCAAAGACUGAGACACAUGGGCAAUGAUUCGAUGAAUCAUGCCUAUGUAAUGAAACCCCAAUAAAACUCACAAGGACUCAGGGGAGCUUCCCUGGUUGGCAAUUUCCUCUGUGCGUUGCCAUACACUGAAGUGCCGGAAGGGUAGCACGUCCUGAGGACAAGGGCAGCUUCGCAGCUAGAACCCUCAUAGAUCCCCUUCUGUGCAUCUCUCCCUUUCACUGCUUCUGAAUUACAUCCUUUUACUGCAAUAAAACUGCCAUCAUAAGUAUAGUGCCUUCCUGAGUUCUGUGAGCUGUUCUAGAAAAUUGUUGAACCUCAGGGAGUCUGUAGGGACCCCUGAAUUGGUAGCCAGCUGGUUAGAAGUUAGGGUGGCUCCGGAGGCCUCCAAACUUGCAGCUGGUGUCUGCCGUGAAGGAAGUCUUGUAAAGAACUGUGCCCUUAACCUGCGGUUUGGCCUAAAUCCAGACAGGGAAUUGAAGACAAUAACGCCUAAUCCAUAUGGUUACUGUGAGAAUUAAAUGAGCUAAUACAGAUAAAGCCUUUGAAUAGUAACUAUCAUAAGUACAAAAUGAAUAUCACCUAUUUUUAUUUGUAUUGAUUUAUUUUUAUAGACAGGGUCUUGCUCUGUUGCCCAGGCUGGAAUGCAGUGGCACCAUCGAUCAUUGCUCAUUGCAGCCUCAACCUCCUGGGCUCAAGUGAUCCUCCCACUUCAGCCUCCCAAGUAGCUAGGACUACAGGUGCACACCAUCAUGCCCAACUAACCUGUUUAAUUUUGUAGAGACGAGGUCUCACUCUGUUGCAGGCUGGCCUCAAGCUCCUGACGUCAAACAAUCCUCUUCAGCUUCCCAAAGUGCUGGGGUUGAUGUUACCCACCUUUAGAAUUGUUGCCUUGCAUUAGUGUGAACAGAGCCCAUAUACAUGAGGAGUCUGCAUUCCCAGGGUCUUCCCAAUGGGCCUCCACUGGAUGCCCAUAGAGAAGAAUGGUACACAGCAGAAAAGCAGAGAGAGAGAGCUUCAUGUGGCAGCACACAGACAUAGAUCCCCACCUCCUUUCUGGGCCUUUCCUUCACACAACACAAAAGCAUGAGGCCACUGUGGAUGGGCAGGUAAUCCUUUUGUCCCCCAAGGCUUGUGGAAAGAUCUUCUGUUGUUUGUUUGUUUGUUAGUGGUAGGGUGGUUAAAAGCAAAAGCCAUCUGCCCCUGGAUCAUGCCCCAUAUAAAACCGAGGUCUGCUACCAGUGAGCCAGGAGCAGGAAGCUUUCUCCAAAGAACCCCACAGAUACAAGCAGAGUUUGACUAUGAGACAAAGGCAGAAAUACUGAGAAAACCCCAUACAUGAGGUCCAGGCUAACAGGGAUAGCCUAAGAUUGAGGCUGGACCAGGAGAAUUAAAAAAUGCCCCUUCCACACCUUAAGUCUUUCAUGGGAAAAUAAGCAACAACAGUUGUUUACUCUUGGGAGGGAGGAAUCAAAUGAAAAGAGAGACAUCUUUUGUGUACAGGCAUUCAGGGUCUACCAAAAGAUGAAGGUGAAACAGUAACAUUGACAAAAACUCUCCAGCACACCAGGUCCUUCACUAAUACAAGGUAUCAGAGCCCACGACUGGAAGAACUUAAAGUUUGAACUAACUGUGAUUAUAGCAGCAACAAAACCCAAACCCAACUCAAACCAGACUUCCACACAAGUGGCCUGGCAGAAGAAGUAUGCCCAUUUCUGGACAUAAAAUAUUUUAAAAGUCCCUUUAUUACUAUUGUUCUUCUACACACAAUGUCUGAUGGUCAAUUUUUAGAAAUACAUAUACGUAUGAUGUGUAAAGCAAGAAAACAUCCAACUUACUAUCAAGGGAUAAAGCAAUCAACAGAAUAAGGCCCAGAGAUGAACAAGAUGCUAAAACAAUCAAACAGGAAUUUUAAAAUAACCAUGAUUAGCACAGGACAAAAAGAUCAACUCUCAUCACUUCUAUGUAAAAUGUAUUUAAAAUCUUAAACAGUGAAAUAAGGCAAGAGCCAGAAAAAAAAAGGCACACAGACUUAAAAAAACAAAACUACAUUCAUUACCUGACUGCAUAAAAAUUCCAAAUAAUCUUUUUUAAAUGCUAUUGGAGUAAGUGAAUCUAACAAGGUUGUGGAAGUUAAGGCCAAUAUAUAAAAAUCAAAUGUCUUUUUAUAUACUAGCAAUGAACAAUUGGAAAUUCAAAUUUUAGGAAACAUCAUUUACCCUAGUAUCAAAAGCAUGAAAUAUUUGGAGAUAAAUCUAACAAAAAUGUGUAAGAAAUACUGUGAAAAUUACAGAAUAUUGAUGAUGGAAAUUAAAGCACACAUAAAAAAUAAAGCAAACUACCAUGUCAUGAAUAGGAAGACUCAGUAUGGUUAAACUUUUAAUUCUUCCCAAAGUGAGCUAUAGGUUCAAUGGAAAUCCAAUGAAAAUCCAAGUAAGGCUUUUUUUGGUAGAAAAUAGCAAAGGUGAUUCCAAAGUCUACACGGACUUUACCUGCACUAUAUCCAAAAUUUAGUUCAAAAUAGACGCCAGGCAUAAUAUCACACCUAAAACUAUAAAAUCUUCUAGAAUGAAAAAAGAAAAAUCUUUGUUAAGCAAAACGAGGUGUAAAAUGAUGUAAUAAUUUGGGGGAGCAAAAUAAGCAGUUUAUUAUUAGGUUAAAAAUACUCUUACCACACAAGCCAGAUAGAUACUCCUUUUCUAAGUAUUUCCCCCCCCCAACCCAAAAUGAAAACAUAUCCAUAAAACUAAACUGCAAAUGAAUGACACAAGAUUUACCUGCACAGUGUCAUGGCACUAUGGGGCUGGCAAGGUAGUAGCAUAGCCAUGGUGCCAAGGCAAACUUCUCAAAUCUCUCUGUGCUUCAGUCCCUAGAAGGAACUCAGCUACAGGCGAUGCCCGAUCAGGUUGAGGUUUGGAAUGGGCCCUGGAUACUGGCAUUUUUAAAACUCUUCCCAGGUGGCCGGGCAUGGUGGCUCUUGUAAUCCCAGCACUUUGGGAGGCUGAAAUGGGAGGAUGGCUGGAGGCCAGGAGUUUGAGAACAGCCUGAGCAACAUAGCAAGAUCUCGUCUCAAUAAAUAAAUAAAUAUUCUUCCAAGGCAAUUUUGCUGUGCUGCUGGGUUUAAAGCACUAGCAGGACAAGACAGUCAUUGUUUCUAGUAUAUAUGUGAACACAUUGCAGGAGGGAAUAACAUAUACAAAUUAGCGCUUAAAAACAUUCAGGAAGGAACAUACAAAGGAGCAAAGAAUUAUAUAUUCAACACAUGUUUUGUGCUCUAGAAGAAAUUAAACAGAACAUGGAAUCAAACAAAAAUUAAAGAUAAAAUAGGUCAAAAGAGAAAUUGGAGAGAAAAUAAAGCAAAGGAAGGACAAAACACCAUUAGAAACACCCAGGAACAGAAUGAUCAGCUGCCAGCAAGUCAGUGUCAGCAAGGGAAGAUCUGAAAUGCUAGCAAAGAGGAAGAAGAAAAAGAUUAAAGACAUUGAAAGGAAAAGAUAUGGAGGACAGACAAGAUACAAAAUAAAGCAAAACAUAACAUUGCUCUCAAAUUUGAAACACGUGACAGGAAAGUGUUAAUUUAGAGAGGUAAAAUUCAACAGAAAAUUAAAAGGCAUGAAAAUGGCUAAUUAAUAUGUGGAAGGAUUCUGUGUAAAUUUAGAAAAAUGAAAACAAUGUAUUCAGUUGGUGCAAAAGUAAUUGUGGUUUUUGCCGUUAAAACCUCUUUGCAGAUCACAUCAUCGAAAACUGAAAAGAUUGAUGUGUGGGCAAAGGUGUAAAACUAGAAACUUGAAUAUAAUGUUGAAUAAAACUAUCAUUUUCAAUUCAAAUACCACUUUACUUCAGCACAUUUAUCUUACAUAUACACUCGCAACUAGGAAAGGAAUAUGGACAAGCAAAGUCACUGUGUCAUUUUUAGUCAUUGUAAAAACCAGAAAAAAUCUAAAGUUUUGUUUGUAAAGGAUUGGUUUAAAAUCAUGGAAUAUCCAUACAAUGAAAAAGGUAGGUGUUCACUGGGAAAUACAGUAGCUGUCUAUGUUGAUAGGGAAAGACCUUCAAGAUUGCUCAAGUGACACAACGGAUAUCUAACAAUACGUAUGAAUGCAUACCCUCCUGUUAGGGAAACAGGAGCCUAGGAGAGUCAGGGUGACACCACUUUAAAAUCAACUCCAUCUUAAACCUAAUGAGGCACAUUCCUUGCCAGUUACCACCUGUAUUAGCCUCUUCUCAUGCUGUUAAUAAAGACAUAUUCUAGACUGGAUAAUUCAUAAAAGAAAGAGGUUUAAUUGACUCCCAGUUCCGCAGGGAUGGGGAGGGCUCAGAAAAUGUAGAAUCAUGGCAGAAGGGGAAGCAAACACGUCCUUCUGCACAUGGUGGCAGCAAGGAGAAGUACAGCAAGGAGAAGUGUGAAGUGGGGGAAAACCCCUUAUAAAGCCAUCAGAUCUCGUGAGAACUCACGCAUUAUCACAAGGAUAGCAUGGAGGUUACCGCCCCCACGAUUCGAUUACCUCCCACUGGGUCUCUCCCAUGACACGUGGUGAUUAUGGGAACUACAGUUCAAGAUGAGAUUUGGGUGGGGGAUACAUGGGUGGGACACAGCCAAACCAUGUCACCACCCAUGGUCAUAGAAUGUUAAUAGCUGAGAAAAACGCCUAAUGCCUGCAAGGACAAACUCUUAUGACAGCAAAAUGUCCCAAUGUCCCAAUAUCACAUAGCAAUAUAUGCUUUUAAAGAUAAUUAUAGUCAUGCUGUGGUGUGUUUGUGCACUAAAGUGCCAAGGACAGCUUUCUUUAAACCAACGAGGAAUAAAUUUUGUCACACCGUCAGCCCACUGGCGUGUAGACAUAAUGUAGCUUAGCUUUUACAUAGAUAAGACCCCUAUAUAAGAAAAACUUAAGACAAAGAUGAGGGGUUCCUCCUCUUGCUUUCUGAGGAUGCCCUACUUUGUAUCUGGGUAGGUUUCAGUAAACUCUCUCUCCUCACUGCACUCUGCAACUCACCUUGAAUUCUUUCCUGCACAAGAUCCAAGAACUCUUACUUGGGGUCUGGAUUGGAACACCUUUUCCUGGCAACACUCCUAUUACACUUGAAAUUUCAAUCGUAUGCCUGUAUUUCUUCUGUUUCAAAUGUUAAAAAUUUAUAUGUUUUCCGUGAAAAAAGAGUUGGAAUUUUUUUUAAGUUUUAGCUUUUUAUGGAGAAAAAUUAUUAACUAGAAAAUUAGACUAUCAGAGAGACUUAUAGUUUCACCUCGCUAAGAUUUCAUUCUCAAACAUGGGCCAUUACUUUUACUGGAAGUAAAAAAUUAUAUAAUUAUAUUGGAACUAGUGUUGAAUAAUUUUAUUUUUGUUCACAUAAAGCAACAUGAAUAAAAUACACAAUAACUAUAACUUAAAUCUGAAAUAAGCACUAAAAUUAUGUGCACAGCAUUCAUUUUGCUAUUCUGCUGCAAACAGAAUAUUUUCUUUUCAUAGCACCUGCAGUGAAGGUCUCAAAGGAGUCUUGCAUGGAAGGGCAUUGAAGGGGACAUGAAAUUUUAACUAAUACCACGAGCUCACAUGCUUCAAACCCAAACUUGCUUAUAACCAACCAAUGUCACUUCUUAGAGAACAAUAUUACAGGUUUUUAGUAUUGUGCUAUUGUUUUUCCUUAAAUUAUGUUUUGUUAUCUGAAAUCCCAAUUAAUGGUUUUAGUUUUUUUUUAAUUUUUGUAAGACAGGGUCUUGAACUCCUGGGCUCAAGUGAUCCUCCCGCCUCAGCCUCCCAAAGUGCUGGGAUUACCGGUGUGAGCCGCCGCACCUGGCUAAUGUUUGCUCUGGACACCAUAAGACUUGUUAGCAUAAUCGUAAGGAGACCCUGAAAAUACAUAUUUUAGCUGCUCCCAGAGUCUCUCUGUGUUUCUACAGGACAGUGGGAAACUGAUGUAAAUAAUUAAGAAGCAAAUUAAUUAUUUGUCAGUUACGUACCCAUCCUGACUUCCAGCAUGGAGACUUAAAUGAAAAGCAGAGGCAGCCAGGUGCCAAUUACUUUUACAAGCUUCAUUCUUAAGUUGAAUUAGGAAAGACUAAGAUGUAACCAGAUGUAUGUAUUAUCAAGUGAUGAAAGUUAUCUGCUUUUUAAAACACUUUUUGAUUUAGUCCUCCUAAUUUUCCUAUGAUUGCAACUCCCAAAAAGAAUCAUAACAUAAAACCUACACCUAAGAAAAUUCUGUUCUGAUGCAGGGGAAAUUCAUCUACUUGCAAAAGCACACUGCAGGAUUGCAAUUCAGAUGUCAAGUUAACCUGAUGAGUGAUUUGAACACACACACACACACACACACACACACACACACACACACUUGCUUUGUAAAUUAAAAAUCUGGAGCAAGCCACAGAACAUGGUCCCUUUCAGAAGGGAGUGUCUUUGUUCUGCAUAGCUCCUGUCCUGAUGGUGUGGGCACCUCUGAGUGGUCUCUCCAUUGUGCUGGACCUGGUUGCUGUAACUAACAAUGGGUGGCUCUCCUGGUCUGAAAUCUAAAGAGCAUGUUAGUCACCUGCAAGCCUGCUCUUAUUUAAAAGAGCUGGUUCACCUCCUUUUUUACAUCGUCAAAUUAGAUCCCCUCAGAGAAAUGCCAGAAUGUUCAGUUGACACAUUAACGCUGAAUUAAAACUAGCUACAAUUUCCAACUUGCAGAUGGUGGUGAGACCAAAGGUAAUAACAAUGAAUUUGUCAUUCAGCCACAAGGGAUUGAUGCAGCCAAUUAAGGCUACUCUCUGCCCAUGAGAUUCUGCUCAGGUUUUCUACUCCAUCGUGACUAGGGGAGAUCACCGGAAGGGAUGAUUUCUUCCACUUACAUCACACAGAACUCCUGCAAAGGGGUUUUCACUCCACAAACACUUGUGAUGGCUCUUAUUAUGUUCCAGACACUGCUUGAAGCCCUCUACAACUAUUAACUCAUCUAAUCCUCCCAACAACGCUUAAUGGUGAGUUCUAUUACUCCGAUCACUUAAGAGGAAACCUGGAUGCUAAGUAACUUGUCCAAGGUCACACAGCUAGUGAAUGGCACAGCUGGGAUGUGAACACAAGCGCUGUGACUUCAGAAUCCAGGCUCGCCCUGACUUUGCUACACCACUCCUGUGCCCGAGAUAAAGCUGGGUUUCCAAUCUCCGCAUCGUUCACAUUUAGGGCCAAGUAAUUAUUUGUUGUUGGAGGCUAUUCUAUACAUUGUAGUGUCCCUGGCCUCUACCCACUGGGUCCCUGGAGUAACCCUCCCUCCCCUGAGCUGUGAAAACCAAAAAUGUCUUCAGAUACUGCCAAAUAUCUCUUUGGGGACAAAAUCAUCUCGUUGAGAUAUCAUUCUCUAUGUCUAUCAUAGAAAUAGAAUGACUAAAAAGAAGAAAUAAUAGAAAAAUGUGGCAUUACUAAAAACAAUCGUAGUAUGUCCGUCUCUGUACAUUUUGAGAUAGAAUUAUUAGGAAAUAUCUCAAAACAGUCCUCUCUUUUUUUGAGACGGAGUCUCUCUCUGCUGCCCAGACUGGAGUGCAAUGGCACCAUCUCGCCUCACCGCAACCUCCCCCUCCUGGGUUCAAGCGAUUCUCGUGCCUCAGCCUCCCGAGUCGCUGGUAUUACAGGCACCCACCACCACGCCCGGCUAAUUUUUUGUAUUUUUUAGUAGAGAUGGGGUUUCGCCAAGUUGGCCAGGCUGGUCUUGAACUCCUGACCUCAGGUGAUCCACCUGCCUUGGCCUCCCAAAGUGCUGGGAUUACAGGCGUGAGCCACUGCGCCCAGGCUCAAAAUAGUCCUUCUUUUAGCUUUUAUGUUAUCUCUCCUUCCUAGCUUUUUUUUUUUUUUUUUUUUUUUUUUUUGGCUUAGGCAGCUAGGAAGCCCAGAGCUCUAUCUUCACCUGAAGCCACGAGCAUUUGAGGAAUUAUGUGCUCAAUAUUGUUAGAUGCCGCAUAUGCACAGAAAUAGAGGAAGUUACACGGGUUUCAGCCUCGUUGAAGAAAAGCAUCGACAGGGAAAUUAGAAUCAGUCAAGCAGCCAGAACAUAUGUAAAUGUUACCUUAUGCGGCCUGUGGGAAUGAAGCACAACAGGACACGUGGGCGCGGUAGUGAGCAGGGCCGGCUCUACUGAGGAGGUCGGUGAGCAGAGUCCGCAGCGGAAAAGGCGAAGGCGACGUGACGUCCAGCAAGCUCGCCAUGUUGAGAAGGUAACACGGCGAAGCCCCGCCCAGCUGGGAUGGAAGGCGCCGUUGGAAGGAACGUGAGGCACAGUUGGAAGCAGGCAACGGUGGGCGUUGCAGGCUCGUGAACAAGAACAGGAAGCGUGCUCGCUUCGGCAGCGCAUGGACUAACAUUGGAACGGUACAGGGAAGAUCAGCAGGGCCCCUGUGCCAGGACGGCACGCGAAUUCCUGAAGUGUUCCAAAUAAAUAAAUGAGUAAGAACAGGAAGUGGUACUGGGCGUUUCAGGAAUAAUAACGAGCAGCGGGGAACCAGGGCUCUGCGGGGCUCAUGGCGAGUUAUGGAAGCUGUUACGAAUCUGCCUUAUGGUGAGGAAGACAGAGAUCGAGGUGUUGGCAGUGAAAUGGAAAGUAAGGGGUGAUUAAGGGAAAAUAUUUGAAAUUGAAGAAUUGACAGGGAUCCAUGGUUUGUUAGACAUUGAAAAUAAUAACAAAUGUGGUAGGCUGCUUCUCAGUGAGCUCCCACUAUCCCCUUUCUCCUGGGAGCCACACUGCAGUGGAAGCUCUUCCCCCAGUGUGGGCUAGACCUAGUGACUCAUUUCUAAUGAACAGAAUAUGGCAGAGUAAGGGGUCACUCUUACAAAAGAAUGUGGCUUCCAUCUUGGGUGUGAGUGGCCUCCGGGGAGACCCGCAUAACAAUGAAAUGAUGUCCCUGGACCAGCCAGAGAGGACCAGAGGACUGUCAGCAGUCCCAUGAGCGAGCCUGGAUGUGAAUGCGUCCCCUGAUCCCCGACGUUCAGCUGUGAGAUGGCCGCAGCACUGGCCACAGCCUUGACUGCAGCCUUGUAGAGAACCUGGGCCAGAGGAUGCUGCUAAGCCACGCCUGGACUCCUGAGCCACAGGGACUGUGAAUGGAUCAAAGUGUGCUGUUUGAAGCCACUAAAUCCAGGGGGCAUUAGUUACACAGCAAUGGAGAAAAAGUACAACAAGCUUACAAGACAAAAAAUAACUUUUAUCUCAAACAUAGGACACCAGUUUAUUCAGUUUACAUAUUUGGAGAUAUGGUUUUUCUGAAAAUUAACCAAAGGGGGAAUGAAUAAAGAAAAAGAAACAUCAAGGCAAGGAAAGGAAGAGAGCCCACAUCUAAUAGAGGAAAUGUCGUUGCCCUUUUAGUACAGAAGACAGAGAUCUCUCUUCCAUGGGUAAUGGCUCUCCUGUGUUAGCCAUCUACUUGCUGUCCCCAGCAUUAUGCAGCGACAUAUAACUGGACUAUGUUCAGAAAAUUAAAAUGACAUAUUCAAGGUAAAUAUCUAGGAACAUUUCAGCCCUUAGGAAGUAGAAGAAAUACCUCCUGUUACAAUCUCCAUAUUUUCUAAUAGAUAAUGCAACUCAUUCUGCUACACAUCAGCUAGUUAACUAGCAACACUUUUUCCAGUGCUGACCAGUGCAGGAGUUCUUUGAAAGAAUUACUUGUUUCAAAGAGGUCGAAGUGCAGAGUACAAUGGUGAUUGCCAGGAGUUGGAGGCAUGGGGCAUGGGGAGAGGUUGGUCAAAGGGAGGAUAGUCUCAGUCAGAUAAGAUGAGUGUGUUCUGAAGAUCUAUGUAUGAGACGGUGCUGUCAAUAAUAAUGUAUUAUUGUAUACUUGAAAUUGUUAAGAGACAAAUGUUCUCACCACAAGAAAAACCAAUAACUAUGUAGGUGAUGGAUGUUAAUUACUUUGACUGUGGUAACCGUUUCACAGUGCGUGCAUAUAUCAAAACUUCCCAUUGUGCGCUGUAAAUAUACACAAUCUUUAUAUCUCGAUAAAGCUAGGAUGGGAGAAGGAAACACUUAUAAAUCACAGCACACUUGAAGGAAAGAGGAACAGACACCUAUUUCAACAUGUAAGAUCACAACAGAAAGAAGAAUGUGAGUUCCAUGAAGGCAGGCAUUUGCCUUGUUCUCGUCAUAGUCCCAGGCCCUGGCGCGUGUUAGAUGGUCCCUAGUGAUGAGGUGAGUAUAAUUAAUAAUGGAGACUAAUACCCAGGGUCCUUAACUAUAUGCACAAAGCAAACACACUUUAUCCUCUAUGUAAUUCUAUAUUAAUUAGCACUCUUAGUUUAUAAGCUUACUAACCAUGUCUUGAUGAGUGAUUCUGUUAUCCAAACUUUCAAGCCCAUUGCCAGAAACCAAAGCUAUUGGUCAGUGUGUUAGUGGUCUCCAGGGAAACAGGAGCAAUGGGAUGCACGUGGUGGGUAAUUUCACAUGUCAGCUUGGCUGCACCAGGAUGCUCAGAUAUUUGGUCAAAUGUUAUUCUGGAUAUUCCUGUGAGGGUGUUUUUGGAUGAGACUGACGUUUCAAUGGGUGAACAUUGAGUAAAGCAGACUUCCCUCCAUAAUGUUGGGGGGGCUCAUCUGAGCAGCUGAAGGCCUGAAUGAAACAAAGGCUGAUAUCCCCCAAACAAGACGUGCUUCCGUAGCAGAUGGCUGCCAGCGUUAACUGCAGCAGUGCCUCUUGGUCUCCAGCCUGCUGGCCCAUUCUAGAUGCUGGACUUGCUAGCCUCCACAGUCUUGUGAGCAAAUUCCUCAAAAUAGAUCUCUCUCUCUCUCUGUACAUUGUAUUGCUUCUGUUUCUCUGGAGAGCCUUAACACAAUGUGUGUGUGUGUGUGUGUGUGUGUGUGCACAUGCACAUAUAGAGAGUUUUUUGAAAUAAUUUUUAAUUAUUUUUUAAUACUUUUAUUUUAGAGAUGGGGUCUCACUGUGUUGCCCAGACGGGUCUCAGAUGGGCUCAAGCAAUCCUCCCACCAUGGCUUCCCAAAGUGCUGGGAUUACAGGCAUGAGCCACUGUGCCCAGCCUAAAGAGAUGUAUUUUAAGGGAAGAUCUGGUUCUGCAGUUCAAGUCUGAAGGCCACCUGCUGACAGAAUCCCCUUUUCUCAGAGGGCGGUCGAUUUUCUCUUAAGCCCUUCUUCAACUGACUGGAUGAAGGCUGCCCACAUAAUGGAGGGGAAUUGGCUUCCUCAAAGCCUACUGAUUUAAAUGUUAGUCUCAUUUUAAAUAUAUCCUUACAGAAACAUCUGGAAUAACGUCUGACCAAAUAUCUGGGUACAGUGAUCCAGCCAAGUUGAGACAUGAAAUUAAUCACCAUGGCCUACAUUUUUAUCUGUUUGGCUGCAAUUCUGUCAAAGGCUUCUGCUCUUCAUAACAUUUCACUCACUAGCUCCAUGAAGCCAUAUGAUACAAACCUUGCCUGUGUAGCCUUCACUUUUUUCCAAAAGAAGUCUAUUAAAUGCCAAUCAAGUAUCUUCUCCUCCAAGCUCAGUAGCUCGGGCCUUCAACAGCUGUUCCCCAUUCCGAUCCAUCUCCCUGAGCUACCCUGGCAUUCUUAUCAGGACACUGGAGGAAUCUAUGUAUGUGCCUCUAAAGAUUCAGCACCCAAACAUGAUAGAAAUCACUGUGUUCACACUGUAUCUCUAUAUCUGCCCAUCCCUUUAAAUCAGUCCAAUAAACCAGAUUAGAAUCAGUAAUAGGACUCAGCUGCUUUCUUUAUACCGUUGAUGGUUCUGGUUUAAGGACCAUCAAUGGUAUAAAGAAGGCAGCUGAGUCCUAUUACUCAGCUGCUGUGUAUAAAGAAGGGAGAAUGGUUUGAGGAUGCUAGACAUCCAGCUGACAUCCAGCUAACAUCCUCAAACCAUUUUCCUUUAACUUCUAACCAAAAUGCCAAGAAAAUCAGGGGGGCAAGGUUAACAUUAACAACAUACGACAGACCACCUAGUGUCAGACUGUGCAUGGUGUUCGCGAUAAUAAUAACAAAGAUGAAGCUUGCCUGAGAAAAAUCUUGGCCAGAAUUCAGCACAUCCUACCUAAGGACAGUCCAUCAGAAACAGACCACUUGGAAAAGCUGAAAGUGUUUGUUUUCUGAAACCGAAGUACCUGUAGCAACCGGCCCAAGGUUCUGGAGAACAGAAUUAAUAAAAGGAAUCAAACUUAUGCUAUUUUAGAAGGUUUCUUUAAGAACCCCAUAGUGUGGCCGGGCACAGUGG